RNAcentral lists this ribosomal RNA (482 nucleotides) under uncultured bacterium. Its description in RNAcentral is "partial 16S ribosomal RNA". It matches the Rfam family "Bacterial small subunit ribosomal RNA", at positions 30 to 507 of the family's 1533-position model. The record is from RNAcentral.
AUUGAACGCUGGCGGCAUGCCUUACACAUGCAAGUCGAACGGUAACAGGUCUUCGGAUGCUGACGAGUGGCGAACGGGUGCGUAAUACAUCGGAACGUGCCCGAUCGUGGGGGAUAACGAGGCGAAAGCUUUGCUAAUACCGCAUACGAGCUACGGAUGAAAGCGGGGGAUCUUCGGACCUCGCGCGGACGGAGCGGCCGAUGGCAGAUUAGGUAGUUGGUGGGAUAAAAGCUUACCAAGCCGACGAUCUGUAGCUGGUCUGAGAGGAUGAUCAGCCACACUGGGACUGAGACACGGCCCAGACUCCUACGGGAGGCAGCAGUGGGGAAUUUUGGACAAUGGGCGAAAGCCUGAUCCAGCCAUGCCGCGUGCAGGAUGAAGGCCUUCGGGUUGUAAACUGCUUUUGUACGGAACGAAAAGCCUCUUUCUAAUAAAGAGGGGUCAUGACGGUACCGUAAGAAUAAGCACCGGCUAACUACGUG